CUUUCAACAACGGAUCUCUUGGUUCCAGCAUCGAUGAAGAACGCAGCGAAAUGCGAUAAGUAAUGUGAAUUGCAAAAUUCAGUGAAUCAUCGAAUCUUUGAACGCACAUUGCGCCCCCUGGUAUUCCGGGGGG
This 133-nucleotide ribosomal RNA is filed under the name Mycoblastus sanguinarius. RNAcentral describes it as "5.8S ribosomal RNA". It matches the Rfam family "5.8S ribosomal RNA", at positions 3 to 135 of the family's 154-position model. Rfam says of the family: 5.8S ribosomal RNA (5.8S rRNA) is a component of the large subunit of the eukaryotic ribosome. It is transcribed by RNA polymerase I as part of the 45S precursor that also contains 18S and 28S rRNA. Lineage: Eukaryota; Fungi; Ascomycota; Lecanoromycetes; Lecanorales; Mycoblastaceae. The record is from RNAcentral.